Alligator mississippiensis (American alligator) is the source of this 2165-nucleotide long non-coding RNA. RefSeq lists it as uncharacterized. The transcript is spliced from 3 exons. NCBI's taxonomy places the organism in Eukaryota, Metazoa, Chordata, Crocodylia, Alligatoridae. The record is from RefSeq and is a predicted model, not a curated record.
GUGCGGGAGCGGCCGCGGAGGAGCGCGGGCUUCUGAGUUGUGGGGCGGGGCGGGGCGGGGCGCAGCUCCGGGCUCGGGCAGGGGCUCGGGAUGCGCCCGGGGAGGCAGCGCGGAGCUGCCCGCCCGCCCACACGGCUCUGCACGUGCCCCGAGCCGGCAUGCGGGAGCCCCGGGGCCGCCUGCUCCUUCCCUCCCGACCCCAGCCUCAAAACAUCCGGGGAGCCCCCUCCUCGGCGCCUCCGGGUGCUUAGUGUUACCUUUUACACGUGGCUGUUCACUAAUUACUAAGGGGAUGAGGAGGAUGAAGCAGAUGAAGAUGAAGCUGGUCCACCAGGAGAGUACAAACAAGGUGAAGAUGAUGGAGGUUCAGAUUUGGGGGAGAGUGAAGAGGAGGAAGAAGCUGGCCUUUCAUACCUGAUGAUGGACAAGAUCCAGGUAGGACUUACCCUAUUCUACUGUAAGGCUCAGGAUUUUCUUGACACUGUCUAGCUAUAAACGUGUAAUAAUUUAAACUUGUAUAAGCAGAAUCAUGUAAAUCCACUAUCAUAUAUGUGCAAUAGAGUACUUUAGAGAGACACCUUUUACUAUCAAAGAAGUGCGUUACAGUAGGGGAACCGCCGCUCUUUGGUAUUCUCCGUUAUCUUGCUCAACAUGAAAUGCUGCAAGAUUUAUUACUUCACUGCCUUGUAGAAUUAGUGUCAUUCUGCACCAAAUCACCACGUCAGAUUUAGAGGAGAACAUGGCCGAAACAAAUCCACCUGCCCUACCAGGAUGCUCACAAGUGUCUGGGGCGCUUCAGCCUUGAGAGCCAUGCCCUCACCGUCCAGAUCUGCAGGUUGUCAGGUGUGGGGCUGGGGCUUCCAGGCAGGGGGGAGAGGGUGAGUAUGGAGGAGCUAGGGCCUGAGGGUGCAGGGGGCUGAUCAGGAUGUGAGGGCUGAGGCAAAGGGGAGACAGGCUGGGAAUCGAGGAGUGAGGGCUGGCCACAGGAAGAAGUCAGGGAGAGGCUGGAGCUGUGGCCCUGGGAGUGCCAUGGGUUCGGCCAUGCAGGGGAGAGCUGGGGCAGGGAGCGGAGACUUCCCCUGGGUGGGAGCACAGGACCUUGAGCUGCUCUUAGUGGAGGGAGGUGGGUGGGAAGUUGGAUCCUGGCAUUUUGGGGAAGGAGAAGGGAUUGGACGCUCCUUUCACCCCACUUAUCUCAGGGCCCUUUUCUUUCCUAGCCAGGGGGGCAGAAAGCCCGUGUGAUGUUUGCUGAGCUGACCUGCAGGGAGCCUGAUGGAUGCAGGGGAUGGGAAUGGGGCUCUGUUGGGUUCGCUGCUCUGGGAAGGAAGCGCGUUAGAGCAGAGCAGGCGUGAGGACCAGGACUUGCAGGUUGUGCCCUGCUCUGGCUCUUCGAAAGGAGUGCUGUCCAGCAUGCCAUAGUGAGGGGCAUGGUUUGGGAGGACUCCUGGGUCCUGUUUCUAGCUGAGGGAAGGAGGGCAGGGGGUGGGAGGAAGGUUUUGUGGCUCAAGACUCCUGGCUUCUUUUUGGGAUCUGUCACUUCCCCAGAAUGAACCCACAAAUCAUCUGUGCUUUGAGUCAAUUGAUACCUUGGGUGAUGCUGUCAGCACAUACAUGGAGCGGUUAUCAACGUGAGCCAUGAUGCGAUACGCAGACCAGCUGCCAGCUCUGGGUGGUGGAGGAGCAGUCCAUCAGCCAGGUCAACGGCGACUUCGACUGCAAGUGGGAGGUGCUGGAGGCCUCAGGCCAGGUCAGCAUUAACUGGCCCCGGGAGUGACCUUGCUGUGGGGAGGCUCCUCGAGGACCUGCCCAUCCCCUCUCAGAGACCUGCCUGCACAGCUUCACGUGCACCCACACCCAAAGGACUCUGUAGAGGGGGCAGGGUCACAGGCAUGGUUGUGGGUUGAACUUUGAAGAUGUGGGGUGGGAGUCUAAUGUAAGACAUGUUUAUUUUUAGAGCUGUUCUUCUACACCUGCUGCUUUCCCAGGAGAGAGAGACUUAAUUGAUAUGAAUGGGAGGAGGGUUGUACUGGAAUGGUCUAUUUUAGGCAGGAGUGAGGGCUGUCCUUGUCCCAUUGCUGGGUUCCCUGCCCCCCAGUCUGGAGAAUGGCUUGAGCCUUGUUUUGCUUCCACCCAAGAGGAUUAUAUUAAAAUAUAAUAAAGGAAAA